This 604-nucleotide long non-coding RNA is filed under the name Mus musculus (house mouse). RNAcentral describes it as "predicted gene 3787 (Gm3787)". The record is from RNAcentral. Lineage: Eukaryota; Metazoa; Chordata; Mammalia; Rodentia; Muridae.
AUCUCAGGACAGCUCUGAGGGAGGAUGGUAUCCCAACGGAAAAGCAUCCUGAGACAUGGGGGCCCAGGAACCACACAGCUCUGAGAGGAAGCCUCCUCCGCAGAGCAUUUGCAGCCCCUGAGGAGGGUAUCCCCGGCUGAGCUCAAGAGCUCAGGAGCAGGCAGCAAAUCUCAUAAAAGAGAUUUAGAGGGAGGAUCCAGGGUGCGGAGGGAUAAAUCUAGGGGUGGCUACCUCUGCUCCAGGGAGCAGACAGCAGGGAGCUGAGCAGACACAGCGUUUAUAUAGGAUCCCUUAGUGGGUGGAGCUUUCUACGAGCGGAGAUUUCCAGGCAACGCAAGCGCGAGCUCGGAAAGAGAAUCCACGUGUUGUAAGAAAAUGGCAGACAAGGCAGACAUGCGGGAAAUCGCCAGCUUCGAUAAGGCCAAGCUGAAGAAAACCGAGACGCAGGAGAAUAACACCCUGCCGACCAAAGAGACCAUCGAACAGCUCAGGAUGUGAGCCCUCGGCUUCCACUUCAGCCACCAAGCCUGCUGCAUGCUGCCAGGCUUCCCAGACAUGACAAACUCUGGAUCCACAAGCCCAAAUAAAGUCUCAUAUAAAUGGU